RNAcentral lists this long non-coding RNA (2679 nucleotides) under Coturnix japonica (Japanese quail). RNAcentral's name for it is "lncRNA (ENSCJPG00005000565.1)". The record is from RNAcentral. Lineage: Eukaryota; Metazoa; Chordata; Aves; Galliformes; Phasianidae.
AUGAAGCCUUCCACACUGACACAGCAGCUCCACGUGCCCCGUCCCGCGGCUCCGCUCCUUCUCCCGGCAUCACUUCGUGGUUUUCGCCGUGAGAUUCACGGGGUCGUUACGUGUGAAGCGUCACGGCACCGGGAUGUCGGAGGGAAUCGGAGGGUCACGGAACGGCCCGGGCUGAGAAGGACCAACCCCGCGCUGUGUGCAGGCACCGGCGACCGAGCAGCCGGUCGGGCCGCACGCAGCCCCAACCCCAACCCCAACCCCAACCCUAACCCUAACUCUAACCCCAACCCCAACCCCAGCCCAGCCCUAAUCACACCGCAGCGAUGCGGGCAGUGUCCGCGCUCCGUGUGCUCGCGCUGCUCCGCGUCCUGCGGGAUCCGGGGGGGGGAAGGAGCGCGGGGCGGGCUCGGAGCGGGACCCCGGUGCUGCCGGCAGCUCGGGGCUGCGGCCCGGCGGGGGCUGCGGGACGCUGCAGAAACCGGGCCCGCACCGAGCGGCGGCGCUGACCCCAUCGGCGCUGCCCGGAACGCGGGGCCCGGCGCUGCUCCCCUCGGCCUGACUGCCGGCCUCCCCCCCCCCUUUCUCUCCUCCCCCCCGGUGCUGUCGGCCCCGGCUCCGUGUCCCCGUUCCCGUUCCCGUUCCCGUUCCCGUUCCCGUUCCGUUCCCGUCCCGCCGUUGGCAGCAGGGGGCGCCACGCCGCGCGCCGCCAUUUCCCUCCGCUCACCUGCGGCCUCCGAGCGCACCCUGCGCCGCCGACGCCGCAGCAGCCAAUCGCGACGCGCUGACGGCCGGCGCCAGCCAAUGGGAGCGCGGAGGCGGGACGGCCGGGAGCGGCGCGGCGGCACCUGGCGGCGGCGGGCGGCGCUGCGGGCACGUGGGGGAGAGAGCGGCGGCCUCCGCGUUACCACGGCAACCGGCACCGGGACCGGCCGAGACGGCGGGACGAGGGACCCGGCCCGGGGCAGCCGGUCCCGGCACAAAGGGAUCGCGGCGAUGGGCAGCGCGGGGCCGCAGCUCAGUUCGGGGCCGCAGUUCGGGGCCGAGCGCUCUGUGUGUGCUCGGACCCGCCGCCCCGUCCCGGCCGGUCUCGUCGUGCGGGAGCGGCAUCGCGGCUGGUCGGCGGGGAUGGCCGCCCUUCUCAGCCCGCCCGGCCCCGCGCCGCGGUGCACAGUCAGUCGGUCGGUCAUCCCGGUACAGCCGGUCAUCCAUCCAUCCAUCCCGGUACAGCCGGUCAUCCAUCCAUCCAUCCCGGUACAGCCGGUCAUCCAUCCGUCCAUCCCGGUACAGCCGGUCAUCCAUCCAUCCAUCCAUCCCGGUACAGCCGGUCAUCCAUCCAUCCAUCCCGGUACAGCCGGUCAUCCAUCCAUCCAUCCCGGUACAGUCACAGUCUCAUCCCGGGCCGUUCUCCCGCCGCUCCCUCCCGCAGGUGCGCGGACUUUGCCCGGGCCGCUCCCUCGCUCUGCGCCCCGCCCGCCUCAAGUCCCCGCGGGGCCGGGAUCCCCCUUGUGCCCGCUCUGCCCUGUGCCCUGUGCCCGCUGUGCCCGCUGUGCCCGCUGUGCCCUCCGCCCGCCGCCCGGUGUCCGGUCCGGUCCGGUCCGUUCGGUCUCGCCCCCCCGGCGCUGUCCGACGUUCGGUGCUGAAGGCGACGGCGGCCCCGUGGCGGGGCGGGGCGGCCCGAGCAGGUGGCGAUGCCCCUCCGCCCCUCCGCCCCCCCCGCCCCGCUCCGCCGCUCCCCGCCCCCCGCGCUCCCUCCCGCCGUUCCCGUUCCCAUUCCCAUCACGUCUCCGCCGGCCGUGGCCGCGCUCGCUCCCCGCUCCGCGAUGGCCAGCACCUUCGCCCGCGCUCUCUCCGCCCGCCGCUCCGCCGGGCUCCUGGCCAUGGUGGGCGCCGGUUCGCUCGCCGCCGGUUUUCUGCUCGCCCGGGACACGGUCAGCGCCGGCGAGCGGCAGCGACGGCGCUACCCGCCCAGGUACCGGGAGCGGGCGGCGGGGGCGCACGUGCGGGGGCGGCGGCGGCGGGCAGGGGCAGCUUCACGCGGCACCGGGGGAGGGGGCGCGGGGCUCCCGCAGCUCCGCGAGGCGUCCUGAGCCCCGGGGCGGCGGUGACCGGGAUCGCGGUCAGCGCCCAGCUCGGAGCCGCGCCGCGCUGGGGGGAACCGGCUCCUCCGGCGGGACCAAAACCUCCCGCCUGGGGCGGCCGGGGAAGGGCGCGGCGCGGCCCCGUCGCGGUUGCGGGAUCCGCCGUCCCCGAUUCCAAGGACACCGCCGCGCCGGGGCGCGGGGCUCGCCGGACCGGGUCCGUUCCUACCUCGGGGCAGAGCCGAGACGGCCCCGGCCCGCGGGGCGGUACCGACACCGCCGCGCCGCUCCCGGGUCGGGAACGGGGGGCCCGGGGCCGGCCGAGCUGGGGCAAAGCGCCGCUCCGGGGCUGCGGAAGGGUCCUGCAGAGGGCCGUGACCGGCCGAUGCGGGGCGGGAGUGGGGGGCACCGGGAUUCGGUCUGUCGGGGGCGGCACCGCGAGGAUGCCGGGCACGGACGCAGCCCGAGCUCAGCGCGGUCGUUAGAGGAGCGGGGGGCUUCCCGCAGGGCCCUGCCCUCGCAGCUCGGGGCGGAGGGAGAACCGGGUCCGCGGCUGCGGCGCGGCCAUUCGUGCUGCGCCGGCGGUUUCAAGCAGGGAUGA